CGUGUCUUUCUUUGUUUCGUCAGGACCUAUUAUUUUCUUACAACAUUGCAGUGGAUAGAUCCAAUGAGAUGACGAAAGUGCUGGGUAAAUCUGCUGCAAGUGUGGGUCUCCGCCUUCCUGAUGUUUAUCAGUCUUGAAAGUUGCACAUGUAUCACGUCGAAGGUGGUUUCAGAUAAUUCUAAGAGGCUGAAAACUGAAAUUAGCCCUAUAGCCUAGACAAUAGCAACGACUUGGAAGAACCUCCUUCCCAUAUAGGGCUGAAAUACUUGGCAAAAGCAUAUGAAUUGUGCGGUUUCGUUGGGAAUUCUGAUGUUACAGGGUUUAACUUUUGUUUUAAACUAUAGUCUGGGGAAAAAUAAACUUGUCCUAAUGCUCUGAGUAGCUUAUUUUGUUCCAAUUGCACAUGGCUCGACAAACUUACUUUUAUAAUCUCUUUAGCCUGUGCAAAAAUUCAUCCUGCAGCAUAUACUUUCAUAUAUCAGUCUCAUUCUAUUUGUGGGAAGUAGAGGAUACAAUCUCUUCCACAUGGUGGUGUCUGGACUGACUUAUAUAAACCUCAAUUAUUUCACUGGAUAUUUGAUA
This is a long non-coding RNA of Solanum dulcamara, 582 nucleotides long. RefSeq lists it as uncharacterized. NCBI's taxonomy places the organism in Eukaryota, Viridiplantae, Streptophyta, Magnoliopsida, Solanales, Solanaceae. The transcript is spliced from 2 exons. The record is from RefSeq and is a predicted model, not a curated record.